Small nucleolar RNA from Tachyglossus aculeatus (Australian echidna), 138 nucleotides. The record is from RefSeq and is a predicted model, not a curated record. Lineage: Eukaryota; Metazoa; Chordata; Mammalia; Monotremata; Tachyglossidae.
GCCCUCUCAGGAUUGCACCUGGAGAGUUUCUAGUACUCUACCAGUCUUGACUGUAGGAGGAAGAGUGAAGCAGAGGCAUACUCAUUCCAUUCCUAGCUUGGGCAGUGGCUAGCAAGUGGAAGGCAAUCUGCUACAAGU